GGGAAGAUGGCUCAGUGGUGGAGUACUUGCCUUGCAUGCAUGAGGCCCUGGGUUCGAUUCCUCAGUACCA
Non-coding RNA from Dipodomys ordii (Ord's kangaroo rat), 70 nucleotides. NCBI's taxonomy places the organism in Eukaryota, Metazoa, Chordata, Mammalia, Rodentia, Heteromyidae. The record is from Rfam.